AAGUCGUAACAAGGUAUCCGUAGGUGAACCUGCGGAUGGAUCAUUAUCACGUAUCCACGUAUCAACCAUUGUGAACUGUACCCUACCUUUGAGAGGAGUUUUAUGAGUGAUAAAGAGUUUUUUUUUCCUUCGGGGGGAGAAAACUUCGCCUCUCAAAGUGUAUUUUUUAUCACUUUAUUAACUAUUUUAACUUAAUUAACUAUACUUUUUGUCUGAUUUUAUUUCUUACUCUUCACGGAGAAGAAAUUUCAUUACGAAACAAAGAACAACUCUUAGCAACGGAUAUCUUGGUUCUC
Molecule: unclassified non-coding RNA, 296 nt
Filed under: fungal sp.
Lineage: Eukaryota; Fungi
Description: partial internal transcribed spacer region
Rfam family: Eukaryotic small subunit ribosomal RNA (bases 1-46)
Source: RNAcentral